UACGUAGGGGCCGAGCGUUGUCCGGAGUUAUUGGGCGUAAAGCGCGCGCAGGCGGCUUGGCGCGCCCGACGUGAAAGCCCCCGGCUUAACCGGGGAGAGUCGUCGGGGACGGCCGGGCUUGAGGGCGGGAGAGGGUGGUGGAAUUCCCGGUGUAGUGGUGAAAUGCGUAGAGAUCGGGAGGAACACCUGUGGCGAAGGCGGCCGCCUGGGCCGACCCUGACGCUGAGGCGCGAAGGCGUGGGGAGCGAACGGG
RNAcentral lists this ribosomal RNA (253 nucleotides) under uncultured bacterium. RNAcentral describes it as "partial 16S ribosomal RNA". It matches the Rfam family "Bacterial small subunit ribosomal RNA", at positions 524 to 776 of the family's 1533-position model. The record is from RNAcentral.